RNAcentral lists this ribosomal RNA (622 nucleotides) under uncultured bacterium. Its description in RNAcentral is "bacterial SSU rRNA". It matches the Rfam family "Bacterial small subunit ribosomal RNA", at positions 67 to 688 of the family's 1533-position model. The record is from RNAcentral.
CGGCAGCACGGACUUCGGUCUGGUGGCGAGUGGCGAACGGGUGAGUAAUGUAUCGGAACGUGCCUAGUAGCGGGGGAUAACUACGCGAAAGCGUAGCUAAUACCGCAUACGCCCUACGGGGGAAAGCAGGGGAUCGCAAGACCUUGCACUAUUAGAGCGGCCGAUAUCGGAUUAGCUAGUUGGUGGGGUAACGGCUCACCAAGGCGACGAUCCGUAGCUGGUUUGAGAGGACGACCAGCCACACUGGGACUGAGACACGGCCCAGACUCCUACGGGAGGCAGCAGUGGGGAAUUUUGGACAAUGGGGGAAACCCUGAUCCAGCCAUCCCGCGUGUGCGAUGAAGGCCUUCGGGUUGUAAAGCACUUUUGGCAGGAAAGAAACGUCAUGGGCUAAUACCCCGUGAAACUGACGGUACCUGCAGAAUAAGCACCGGCUAACUACGUGCCAGCAGCCGCGGUAAUACGUAGGGUGCAAGCGUUAAUCGGAAUUACUGGGCGUAAAGCGUGCGCAGGCGGUUCGGAAAGAAGAUGUGAAAUCCCAGAGCUUACUUUGGAACUGCAUUUUUAACUACCGAGCUAGAGUGUGUCAGAGGAGGUGGAAUUCCCGUGUAGCAGUGAAAUG